Long non-coding RNA from Plectropomus leopardus (leopard coralgrouper), 245 nucleotides. RefSeq lists it as uncharacterized. The record is from RefSeq and is a predicted model, not a curated record. NCBI's taxonomy places the organism in Eukaryota, Metazoa, Chordata, Actinopteri, Perciformes, Serranidae.
GGAUUUUCUGUUGGCGUUGCUGGACUCCGGUUUUUGUUCGAGUUUUGAAGGAGGAUUUGGCCAGGUGAGCGUCAUUUGGUGUUUGCACAACUGCAGCAGGAAAACAAAUAUGGCGGACCAACCCUAGUAUAACGGUCUUCUUCGAGGAUGAAGAUCAUUACCAUCAUUAUCAUGUUUUCCACUGGUGAUGCACUUGUUGGACAGAUCAAAAAUUCAAGCCUCCCUCUUUCAUCCUUCAACCCCCC